RNAcentral lists this ribosomal RNA (541 nucleotides) under Eunotia sp. RNAcentral describes it as "SSU rRNA". It matches the Rfam family "Eukaryotic small subunit ribosomal RNA", at positions 590 to 1136 of the family's 1831-position model. Lineage: Eukaryota; Bacillariophyta; Bacillariophyceae; Eunotiales; Eunotiaceae. The record is from RNAcentral.
UCCCAUAGCGUAUAUUAAAGUUGUUGCAGUUAAAAAGCUCGUAGUUGGAUUUGUGGCAGGUGCGUGCGGCCCGACACUGUGUGUGGGUGCUUGUGCGCGCCGCCAUCCUUGGGUGGAACCUGUGUGGCAUUAGGUUGUCGUGCAGGGGAUGCCCAUCUUUUACUGUGAAAAAAUUAGAGUGUUCAAAGCAGGCUUAUGCCGUUGAAUAUAUUAGCAUGGAAUAAUGAGAUAGGACCUUGGUACUAUUUUGUUGGUUUGCGCACCAAGGUAAUGAUUAAUAGGGACAGUUGGGGGUAUUCGUAUUCCAUUGUCAGAGGUGAAAUUCUUGGAUUUCUGGAAGACGAACUACUGCGAAAGCAUUUACCAAGGAUGUUUUCAUUAAUCAAGAACGAAAGUUAGGGGAUCGAAGAUGAUUAGAUACCAUCGUAGUCUUAACCAUAAACUAUGCCGACAAGGGAUUGGCGGGGUUUCAUUUUGUCUCCGUCAGCACCUUAUGAGAAAUCACAAGUCUUUGGGUUCCGGGGGGAGUAUGGUCGCAAGG